RNAcentral lists this ribosomal RNA (325 nucleotides) under uncultured eukaryote. RNAcentral describes it as "partial 18S ribosomal RNA". It matches the Rfam family "Eukaryotic small subunit ribosomal RNA", at positions 1470 to 1796 of the family's 1831-position model. The record is from RNAcentral.
UCCUUAGAUGUCCUGGGCCGCACGCGCGCUACACUGAUGCAUUCAACGAGUUUUACCUUGGCCGAGAGGCCUGGGCAAUCUUUUAAACCUGCAUCGUGAUAGGGAUAGAUUAUUGCAAUUAUUAAUCUUGAACGAGGAAUUCCUAGUAAACGCAAAUCAUCAAUUUGCAUUGAUUACGUCCCUGCCCUUUGUACACACCGCCCGUCGCACCUACCGAUUGAAUGGUCCGGUGAAGCCUCGGGAUUGUGGCCAGUUCACUUUAUUGGGAGUUGGCUGUGAGAACUUGUCUAAACCUUAUCAUUUAGAGGAAGGUGAAGUCGUAACA